This 255-nucleotide ribosomal RNA is filed under the name uncultured bacterium. RNAcentral's name for it is "partial 16S ribosomal RNA". It matches the Rfam family "Bacterial small subunit ribosomal RNA", at positions 524 to 776 of the family's 1533-position model. The record is from RNAcentral.
UACGUAGGGGGGCAAGCGUUGUCCGGAUUUACUGGAGCGUAAAGAGCGUGUAGGCGGCCAAGCAGGUCCGUUGUGAAAACUGGAGGCUUAACCUCCAGACGUCGACGGAAACCGCGUGGCUAGAGUCCGGAAGAGGAGAGUGGAAUUCCUGGUGUAGCGGUGAAAUGCGCAGAUAUCAGGAAGAACACCAAUGGCGAAGGCAGCUCUCUGGGACGGUACUGACGCUGAGACGCGAAAGCGUGGGGAGCGAACAGG